GGCGAACGCUGGCGGCGUGCUUAACACAUGCAAGUCGAACGGAAAGGCCCUGCUUUUGUGGGGUGCUCGAGUGGCGAACGGGUGAGUAACACGUGAGUAACCUGCCCUUGACUUUGGGAUAACUUCAGGAAACUGGGGCUAAUACCGGAUAGGAGCUCCUGCUGCAUGGUGGGGGUUGGAAAGUUUCGGCGGUUGGGGAUGGACUCGCGGCUUAUCAGCUUGUUGGUGGGGUAGUGGCUUACCAAGGCUUUGACGGGUAGCCGGCCUGAGAGGGUGACCGGCCACAUUGGGACUGAGAUACGGCCCAGACUCCUACGGGAGGCAGCAGUGGGGAAUAUUGCACAAUGGGCGGAAGCCUGAUGCAGCAACGCCGCGUGCGGGAUGACGGCCUUCGGGUUGUAAACCGCUUUCGCCUGUGACGAAGCGUGGGUGACGGUAACGGGUAAAGAAGCACCGGCUAACUACGUG
This 468-nucleotide ribosomal RNA is filed under the name uncultured bacterium. RNAcentral's name for it is "partial 16S ribosomal RNA". It matches the Rfam family "Bacterial small subunit ribosomal RNA", at positions 28 to 507 of the family's 1533-position model. The record is from RNAcentral.